CGGGGGGAGAGCGAGAACCGAAGCAAGGUCAAGGAGUUCAGAAUGGCAGUUGAACUAUUCCUCACCCAGACAUCAUGCCCGAUACAUCUCUCCAGUCACCACGCUACCACUGACCUCUCGAGUCUACGCAGCCCAGUGUCCGUCUCUGCCUUGUCUUCGGGUGUGACGUGAAACGGCAACGGGGAGCUUGACCUACGUGACGGAUGUUUUUCGUGUGGCGGAGUGACGUGCAGCUGCUGUGGAGCCUAGCGGAGCACGCCACGGGCGUUGAUGAUCCAAAGGCCUGACUCCACAGCAAUGAGUCUCCUCUAUCAGAGACUACCUUGCAUUGCGCUUUCACUGAUAACGCCUACUACUAACACCCCUGCCUCGCCAUCGCUGCAACAUCAGGGCAGGACUAUCUUGCGUCGCGCCCCCACACACAUUGUACUCUAACACCUAACACCGCCGCUCAGAGAUACUGGUUGAGUGGGUGAUAACGAGGCGAAGCAGGUGUGGUGAGGAGGCGGAUUGGCGACGAGAACCAGCUGAUGACGGCAGACAUAAGAUUCCAUUAACCAGGAAUUGGCGGUCCAAAGAAUCUACAGCGAUCCCGUGACUCCUGCACCCUCAGGGAGGGAAUCUGGCUUCGCACGGCCUUCACUGACCCCUUCCCCCUUCCACCGCUACCGUCGCCGUUACUGCCACUGUGGGACUCUGCCUCGCAGCGCAUCCCAGCGGCCCGGCAAACCCCUGCUACUACCACCGCCAUCCCCUCCGCUUCCGCCGUCGUCCAGCGAGGGAUUCAGCUUAGAAUCGCACACCUGCCGCCGCAGCAGCAGCAGCAGCAAGGAUUCUGCAUGGCACCUUUGACCUGCGCUGCUAUCACCUACUACUACUGGUACUCCUAGUGGUGUGGUGGUAGUGUUGGUGGCCAGGGAGGGAAGAGUUGCGUGGCAGUCGGUCUUCCCUCACUCUGUGGGUGGUAGAUGUAUUUAGACAGGUGUGGUGUUGUGGUGCCAUUAUUCUAUUGUAAUAAAUUGUGGUGCCUUUAUUCUAUUGUAAUAAACUGUCUUCACUGCUUCAUUGUCACUAUACUGAAAGCUUUUGUCACUACUGAAUAAAUUGUGAAGAAAUC
RNAcentral lists this unclassified non-coding RNA (1117 nucleotides) under Portunus trituberculatus (swimming crab). RNAcentral describes it as "uncharacterized LOC123507769, transcript variant X3". The record is from RNAcentral. Lineage: Eukaryota; Metazoa; Arthropoda; Malacostraca; Decapoda; Portunidae.